This 129-nucleotide small nucleolar RNA is filed under the name Oryza sativa (Asian cultivated rice). Its description in RNAcentral is "box C/D snoRNA J50.1". The stretch from base 33 to 129 matches the Rfam family "small nucleolar RNA snoR134", at positions 1 to 95 of the family's 149-position model. The record is from RNAcentral. Lineage: Eukaryota; Viridiplantae; Streptophyta; Magnoliopsida; Poales; Poaceae.
CUGUAAAAAUUCUGUUUAUAUCUGUUCUGUUCAUGCACGGUGCUAACCCCGGGCUUGUCGGAUUGGAAUCCUCUGAAGAAUGAAGCCCCAAUGCCUGUGCUAGAUCCACCAUGCCAUUCAGUGUUGCAG